Molecule: non-coding RNA, 72 nt
Organism: Phrynosoma platyrhinos (Desert horned lizard)
Lineage: Eukaryota; Metazoa; Chordata; Lepidosauria; Squamata; Phrynosomatidae
Source: the annotation of a GenBank genome assembly
GGUGCUGUAGCAUAGUGGUUUUUGUGUGUGACAACAACUCUGGAGACCAGAGUUCGAUCUUCUGCUGGGCCA